AGGAUCCUACGGGAGGCAGCAGUGGGGGAUAUUGCACAAUGGGGGAAACCCUGAUGCAGCGACGCCGCGUGAGUGAAGAAGUAUUUCGGUAUGUAAAGCUCUAUCAGCAGGGAAGAAAAUGACAGUACCUGACCAAGAAGCCCCGGCUAACUACGUGCCAGCAGCCGCGGUAAGACAGAAGAUGCAAGCGUUAUCCGGAAUGAUUGGGCGUAAAGCGUCUGUAGGUGGCUUUUUAAGUUCGCCGUCAAAUCCCAGGGCUCAACCCUGGACAGGCGGUGGGAACUAACCAGCUGGAG
Molecule: ribosomal RNA, 296 nt
Filed under: uncultured bacterium
Lineage: Bacteria
Description: partial 16S ribosomal RNA
Rfam family: Bacterial small subunit ribosomal RNA
Source: RNAcentral